AGGACGAACGCUGGCGGCGUGCUUAACACAUGCAAGUCGAGCGAGGCUCCUCCUUCGGGAGGAUGCCCUAGCGGCGAACGGGUGAGUAACACGUGGGCAACCUGCCCCUAGCACUGGGAUAACCCCGGGAAACCGGGGCUAAUACCGGAUACGACUUCGGAAGGCAUCUUCUGAAGUGGAAAAGGUUACUGGCUAGGGAUGGGCCCGCGGCCUAUCAGCUUGUUGGUGGGGUAAUGGCCCACCAAGGCGACGACGGGUAGCCGGCCUGAGAGGGCGACCGGCCACACUGGGACUGAGACACGGCCCAGACUCCUACGGGAGGCAGCAGUGGGAAUAUUGCACAAUGGGCGAAAGCCUGAUGCAGCGACGCCGCGUGAGGGAUGACGGCCUUCGGGUUGUAAACCUCUUUCAGCAGGACGAAGCGAAGUGACGGUACUGCAGAGAAGCACGGCCAACUACGCGCCAGCAGCCGC
Molecule: ribosomal RNA, 473 nt
Filed under: uncultured bacterium
Lineage: Bacteria
Description: SSU rRNA
Rfam family: Bacterial small subunit ribosomal RNA
Source: RNAcentral